Melozone crissalis (California towhee) is the source of this 549-nucleotide long non-coding RNA. RefSeq lists it as uncharacterized. NCBI's taxonomy places the organism in Eukaryota, Metazoa, Chordata, Aves, Passeriformes, Passerellidae. The transcript is spliced from 3 exons. The record is from RefSeq and is a predicted model, not a curated record.
UCUGCAGGCAGUACAAACAGAACAGAUGCACAGCUCAGUCGCAUGGAAAUUUGUAAAAGUGACCUCUGCAGUGAGGCCUGCUGAGAAGUUUGUUUUGGGAAGGGCUCCUGUGGCUCCCAGCUUUACAGAGCUGUCGUGUACACUCCUGUUAAAAUGCCAGAUAACUGUAAUUCCCUGUGCUUUGCUUUCCUCUACACCCCAGGACAAGAAGGUGGGGUGUUUCCUAGCUCAACAUUUGGUUUUAUUUUCAUUUUAGAAACUCUUUUGCCUCCUGUGCUUGCCAUCCUGCUUCCCUUCAUCCUCUUCCAGAGCCAGGGCUUCUCAGGAGGAUUGUCCUCUUCAUCCCUCCCUGACAAGGUGAGAUGGUGCCAGUGGCCUCCCCAGCUCCUUCUCCAGGGAAGGACGAGCGUUUCAUGUGGUAACAGAGCAAAUCUUACUCUUUGCUGAAUGACUUGGCCUCCAGCCAGGCUUUGACUUCUUCAGUGCUGGAUUCAAAGCAGCUCGUCGUUCAGCUCAUCCAUUUGGUGAAUAAGUUCUGCAGAAACAGGU